This 47-nucleotide small RNA is filed under the name Arabidopsis thaliana (thale cress). RNAcentral's name for it is "ATSL239470". Lineage: Eukaryota; Viridiplantae; Streptophyta; Magnoliopsida; Brassicales; Brassicaceae. The record is from RNAcentral.
ACAAUUUGAACCCAAACAACAACAAAAAAAAAUGAAAAAGAGAAGAG